UUCCCAGAAUAUCCUUCUUGAAUUUCUAUCCCAGACUUGUCCCUAGGUUCCAAGUGGUUUGUUUGACAGCACCUUUUGGAUGCCUAAAGAAAUGCCACAGACAAGUUUAGUUGACACCUGAAUUCAAGGUCAAAUGGAGGAGGAGAGGAGGAGAAGGAGGAGGAGGAGGAGGAGGUGGCUACCAUCACAUUAAGCAACCAAACCCAUGGACAUUGUACUUGCUUUUGCUUUUGUCUGGAAUGACAUCAUGUUCUUCACACCUGCUGAUCCUCCAAACUGCCAGCUACUCAGAGAAGCCUUACUGACUCCUAGAUUGCAUCGGAUGUUGGCAUGAUAAACUCUUAUCACAUCUCCUAUACAAUACAAG
Molecule: long non-coding RNA, 367 nt
Filed under: Fukomys damarensis (Damara mole-rat)
Lineage: Eukaryota; Metazoa; Chordata; Mammalia; Rodentia; Bathyergidae
Description: lncRNA (ENSFDAG00000024617.1)
Source: RNAcentral